RNAcentral lists this long non-coding RNA (498 nucleotides) under Anas platyrhynchos platyrhynchos (common mallard). Its description in RNAcentral is "lncRNA (ENSAPLG00000027348.1)". The record is from RNAcentral. Lineage: Eukaryota; Metazoa; Chordata; Aves; Anseriformes; Anatidae.
ACAAAUUCCUGAUGAUAGUGUUGUCUGUAACACCUGGAUUAGAUCAAUGCAUUUCCUGUUCCACACAGAGGGCAUAAAAGGAGCAAACUGAGCUCAGAAGAGGGACUGAAGUUCAGAAUGGAGAUUCUCUGUAUUGGUACUGUAUCGAUGUCUAGGCAAAAUUUGUAUGCUUUCUUAUUGACUUGCUUCUUCAAUAGAAGACAGGUUAUUAUUUUAACUCCAGCAAGUAAGAAUGUCUCCAUAUGCCUAUUGGACAACAACAAGAAGGAAAUAUGGUCCCCAUGCUGCAGCUUCUUAUCGGGAAUUGUGGUUUUUUGUAUCCUGCCUAGCACUGGCUGAGGGAGCAGAAGAACUGAGUUGCACCACACAUCCAAAGAGCAUAAGAUUAAUAGGAGAGAGAAAGAAGACUAUAUUAAUGUAUAUCCAUAUUCCUGCUUCGAUGCACCUUGUUUGGAUGAAAUUCCUUUUGCCUAUGGAUGUCUCAAAACUGAAUCAAAG